This 936-nucleotide long non-coding RNA is filed under the name Homo sapiens (human). Its description in RNAcentral is "non-protein coding lnc-ZNF592-4:1". Lineage: Eukaryota; Metazoa; Chordata; Mammalia; Primates; Hominidae. The record is from RNAcentral.
CAUGCCCCACCAUAUCUGGCUAAUUUUUUGUACUUUUGGUAGAGAUGGAGUUUCCCAUCUUGGCCAGGCUGGUCUCGAACUCCUCCCCUCAGGUGAUCUGCCCGCCUUGGCCUCCCAAAGUGCUGGGAUUACAGGCGUGAGUCACGGCACCUGGCCUCACUUUCAUCAUAUUUUUAUACCAAGUAUGUUGUGAUAAACAGGAUUUUCCUGAGAAAUAGGUGGGCUUGGCAUGUAGAGGUUGAUUUGCAAGCUGAGUCAGAUGGCGACCUCCUUUUUGCUCAGAUCUGCUUUUCCAGUACUUUCCUGGUCUACUAGAUGCCCUUGAACCUUGGCAUUUUUUCAACACCUUUUGGUGUCACCGCUGGGGUUAGAGCAUUGGUAUAGCAGCAGGAGUGACCCCUCACCAUGUCCUAGUCCUUGGGUCCUGUUUGUCCAAUUUGCUCACCAUGGCUGUCAGUUUUUAUGUCUCUGGUUCUAGCCUGUGACCUGCCCACGAAACUGUACAGUUCCCUUUGCUUUAUGAUUUGGUUUUGGUUUUUUCUGCAUUUUUUGCAUGUGAGAGUUUGGCAAAUAUAAAUGAGGUCUGUUCUUUUUUUUUUUUUUUUUUUUUUUUCUAAUUUUUUAAAUUUUUUUAUUUUUAGUAGUGACAGAGGUUUCACUACGUUGAGCAGGCUAGUCUUGAACUCUUGACCUCAAAGUGAUCCAUCCACCUCAGCCUCCAAAAGUGCUGGGAUUACAGGCAUGAGCCAUCAUCCCCAGCCUGCCUUUUUUUUUUUUUUUAAAGGUGCUUGGUCAUGUAAACCGAUCAUGCCAACUUAAAAAAAAUCUAUAUGCUUUCAGCCAAGCAUGGUGGCUCACGCCUGUAAUCCCAGCACUUUGGGAGGCUGAGGUGGGAAGAUCUUUUGAGCUCAGGAGUUCAAGACUCUCCUGAGCAAC